AUGCAUGUCUUCUCGAUUUUUCGAAAGCGAGACAUUUAUUUAUGCAGGUUUCUCCAUGCCAUCGGCAGCAGCCGUAAGCAUAGGGGCAGCGGUCAUGGUCGCCCGAGGAGCACAACUUCAUGGGGGCUGGUCCUGCUGCCGCCAAAGCAUAGUGGAGGAGGUCGAUGCAGGGUUGAGGAGGGGCAUGGGCUAAGAGUGGUGGAAGAAAGGAAGGAUGAUGUUUUGGGUGUGUACACAUGUAUAGCACUAGCAUUUUCAGAUGAUUGUGAAGCUUAUGGAAGAGGCAUAUCUGAAUGCUUGUUUUGUGCCUUUCUCGCUCUAAACAUGGUAACCCCUAUUCUUACAUACAAGAAGGUGCUCUUGAUUACUUCUUGGAAAAUGAUCGAUUGA
Molecule: ribosomal RNA, 390 nt
Filed under: Triticum aestivum (bread wheat)
Lineage: Eukaryota; Viridiplantae; Streptophyta; Magnoliopsida; Poales; Poaceae
Description: partial small subunit ribosomal RNA
Source: RNAcentral